GAUGAACGCUGGCGGCGUGCUUAACACAUGCAAGUCGAACGGAAAGGCUCCUGCUUGCAGGGGUACUCGAGUGGCGAACGGGUGAGUAACACGUGGGUGAUCUGCCCUGCACUUCGGGAUAAGCCUGGGAAACUGGGUCUAGUACCGGAUAGGACGAUGGUUUGGAUGCCAUUGUUGAAAGUUUUUUCGGUGUGGGAUGAGCUCGCGGCCUAUCAGCUUGUUGGUGGGGUAAUGGCCUACCAAGGCGUCGACGGGUAGCCGGCCUGAGAGGGUGGACGGCCACAUUGGGACUGAGAUACGGCCCAGACUCCUACGGGAGGCAGCAGUGGGGAAUAUUGCACAAUGGGCGCAAGCCUGAUGCAGCGACGCCGCGUGGGGGAUGACGGCCUUCGGGUUGUAAACUCCUUUCGCUAGGGACGAAGCGCAAGUGACGGUACCUGGAGAAGAAGCACCGGCUAACUACGUG
Molecule: ribosomal RNA, 466 nt
Filed under: uncultured bacterium
Lineage: Bacteria
Description: partial 16S ribosomal RNA
Rfam family: Bacterial small subunit ribosomal RNA
Source: RNAcentral